Molecule: ribosomal RNA, 253 nt
Filed under: uncultured bacterium
Lineage: Bacteria
Description: partial 16S ribosomal RNA
Rfam family: Bacterial small subunit ribosomal RNA
Source: RNAcentral
GACGUAGGGCGCGAGCGUUGUCCGGAUUUAUUGGGCGUAAAGAGCUCGUAGGCGGCUUGUUGCGUCGACCGUGAAAACCCGGGGCUCAACUUCGGGCUUGCGGUCGAUACGGGCGGGCUAGAGUUCGGUAGGGGAGACUGGAAUUCCUGGUGUAGCAGUGAAAUGCGUAGAGAUCAUGAGGAAGACCAGUGGCGAAGGCGGGUCUCUGGACAGUUCCUGACACUGAGGCACGAAGGCCAGGGGAGCAAACGGG